AUGGCCAUAUUCCAUUGUAACACCAGUUUCCAUACGAUCAUCGAAGUUAAGCGACGUCGGGCCUGGUCAGUACUUAGAUGGAUGAAAACUUGUGAAUACCAGUUGCUGUAA
Non-coding RNA from Acanthosepion pharaonis, 111 nucleotides. NCBI's taxonomy places the organism in Eukaryota, Metazoa, Mollusca, Cephalopoda, Sepiida, Sepiidae. The record is from the annotation of a GenBank genome assembly.